UAGAACUUGAAUGAAGGGCAGAUCUU
This 26-nucleotide non-coding RNA is filed under the name Rattus norvegicus (Norway rat). The record is from RNAcentral. Lineage: Eukaryota; Metazoa; Chordata; Mammalia; Rodentia; Muridae.